RNAcentral lists this ribosomal RNA (247 nucleotides) under uncultured bacterium. Its description in RNAcentral is "partial 16S ribosomal RNA". It matches the Rfam family "Bacterial small subunit ribosomal RNA", at positions 86 to 334 of the family's 1533-position model. The record is from RNAcentral.
AGAUGGCGACCGGCGCACGGGUGAGUAACACGUAUCCAACCUGCCGAUAACUCGGGGAUAGCCUUUCGAAAGAAAGAUUAAUACCCGAUGGUAUAAUCAGACCGCAUGGUUUGAUUAUUAAAGAAUUUCGGUUAUCGAUGGGGAUGCGUUCCAUUAGGCAGUUGGUGAGGUAACGGCUCACCAAACCUUCGAUGGAUAGGGGUUCUGAGAGGAAGGUCCCCCACAUUGGAACUGAGACACGGUCUAA